This 373-nucleotide ribosomal RNA is filed under the name uncultured eukaryote. RNAcentral describes it as "partial 18S ribosomal RNA". It matches the Rfam family "Eukaryotic small subunit ribosomal RNA", at positions 592 to 976 of the family's 1831-position model. The record is from RNAcentral.
CAAUAGCGUAUAUUAAAGUUGUUGCAGUUAAAAAGCUCGUAGUUGAAUUUUUGCUUGCCGCCGAUGUCGGAACUUCCGUACGUUCGGCGGCGUGCAUCCUUGGGUGGAACCUGUGUGGCAUUAGGUUGUCGUGCAGGGGAUGCUCAUCGUUUACUGUGAAAAAAUUAGAGUGUUCAAAGCAGGCUUACGCCGUUGAAUAUAUUAGCAUGGAAUAAUAAGAUAGGACUUUGGUACUAUUUUGUUGGUUUGCGCACCAAAGUAAUGAUUAAUAGGGACAGUUGGGGGUAUUCGUAUUCCGUUGUCAGAGGUGAAAUUCUUGGAUUUACGGAAGACGAACUACUGCGAAAGCAUUUACCAAGGAUGUUUUCAUUAA